RNAcentral lists this ribosomal RNA (404 nucleotides) under uncultured bacterium. RNAcentral describes it as "partial 16S ribosomal RNA". It matches the Rfam family "Bacterial small subunit ribosomal RNA", at positions 28 to 526 of the family's 1533-position model. The record is from RNAcentral.
GAUGAACGCUGACAGAAUGCUUAACACAUGCAAGUCAACUGUGGCGGACGGGUGAGUAACGCGUAAAGAACUUGCCUCACGGAUAGGGACAACAUUUGGAAACGAAUGCUAGUAACUGAUACUGUGAGAGAGCUUGGCGUCCCAUUAGCUAAUGGGAGAGGUAACGGCUCACCAAGGCGAUGAUGGGUAGCCGGCCUGAGAGGGUGAUCGGCCACAAGGGGACUGAGAGACGGCCCUUACGCCUACGGGGGGCAGCAGUGAGGAAUAUUGGACAAAGGACCAAAGUCUGUUCCAGCAAUUCUGUGUGAACGAUGAAGUUUUCGGAAUGUAAAGUGCUUUCAGUUGAGAAGCGGUACCAACAGAAGAAGUGACGGCUAACUACGUGCCAGCAGCCGCGGUAAUAC